Molecule: transfer RNA, 73 nt
Filed under: Rickettsiales bacterium
Lineage: Bacteria; Pseudomonadati; Pseudomonadota; Alphaproteobacteria; Rickettsiales
Description: tRNA-Ala
Rfam family: tRNA
About the family: Transfer RNA (tRNA) molecules are approximately 80 nucleotides in length. Their secondary structure includes four short double-helical elements and three loops (D, anti-codon, and T loops). Further hydrogen bonds mediate the characteristic L-shaped molecular structure. tRNAs have two regions of fundamental functional importance: the anti-codon, which is responsible for specific mRNA codon recognition, and the 3' end, to which the tRNAs corresponding amino acid is attached (by aminoacyl-tRNA synthetases). tRNAs cope with the degeneracy of the genetic code in two manners: having more than one tRNA (with a specific anti-codon) for a particular amino acid; and 'wobble' base-pairing, i.e. permitting non-standard base-pairing at the 3rd anti-codon position.
Source: RNAcentral
GGGGAAAUAACUUAAUUGGUAGAGUGUAUGCUUUGCAAGCAUAAAGUUGUCGGUUCAAAUCCGAUUUUCUCCA